Molecule: long non-coding RNA, 364 nt
Filed under: Gossypium raimondii (Peruvian cotton)
Lineage: Eukaryota; Viridiplantae; Streptophyta; Magnoliopsida; Malvales; Malvaceae
Description: long non-coding RNA (GRAI_LNC000452)
Source: RNAcentral
GCUUUAAUUAGAAAGGUUUAGUAAUUGGCUAGUAAUAGUAUCCUAUUUUAUUCUCUUUUUAUGAAUUACUUGUUUAUUUGGUUGCUUGUGUAGGAUCCUCUAGGCAUUCACUAAAGGUUUUUCUUGUUUUCCUUUUUUUUUUUUUUGGUUCUUCAAGUGUGGGGAUGAUUUUUUGGGUGUCAUUUCUGGUUAAUUAUAUUUUUCUCUUUUGAUGGAGAAUAGUUUAAGGCUAGUCAAAUUUUCCUUCUUGAUUGGUUUCUUGAUUUUAAUGAAACCAAAAUUUUAAGCUAAUUUUAUAUUGCUUGGCAUCAUAUUAUUUCAAAUUUUUUAAGGCGGAAGAUAAAGUGGGUAAGCUCCUUUUUAG